ACCGAGACUAGAGUCACGCUUAGAUGCCAUCAGUCAUCAUGGUGUGCUACAGUCCUCGAAGAGAAAUAACUAACCUUUAUUCACUAAUGGUGUUGCUCAGUAGCACAGUCAGUCACCAGGUUAGUUACAUUC
This is a small nucleolar RNA of Pogona vitticeps (central bearded dragon), 132 nucleotides long. NCBI's taxonomy places the organism in Eukaryota, Metazoa, Chordata, Lepidosauria, Squamata, Agamidae. The record is from Ensembl.